UACGUAGGGUGCAAGCGUUAAUCGGAAUUACUGGGCGUAAAGCGUGCGCAGGCGGCUUUGCAAGUCAGAUGUGAAAUCCCCGGGCUUAACCUGGGAACUGCAUUUGUGACUGCAAGGCUGGAGUGCGGCAGAGGGGGAUGGAAUUCCGCGUGUAGCAGUGAAAUGCGUAGAUAUGCGGAGGAACACCGAUGGCGAAGGCAAUCCCCUGGGCCUGCACUGACGCUCAUGCACGAAAGCGUGGGGAGCAACCGGG
This 253-nucleotide ribosomal RNA is filed under the name uncultured bacterium. RNAcentral's name for it is "partial 16S ribosomal RNA". It matches the Rfam family "Bacterial small subunit ribosomal RNA", at positions 524 to 776 of the family's 1533-position model. The record is from RNAcentral.